Long non-coding RNA from Acanthopagrus latus (yellowfin seabream), 579 nucleotides. RefSeq lists it as uncharacterized. NCBI's taxonomy places the organism in Eukaryota, Metazoa, Chordata, Actinopteri, Spariformes, Sparidae. The transcript has 4 exons. The record is from RefSeq and is a predicted model, not a curated record.
CGAUCACCUCCAGGUCGCUGCACUGCAGCUCCAUCGCCGACAGGUCGUACAGCGGGCUGACGGCACAAACAGCUCGGUCAUGGGAGGCAUUUACAAAUCACUUCUCUCAUCUAACUUCUGCCACAUUGUGAAUUAAAUUAAAGGAGAGAGUCUUAGACAUGAGGAGAGGAAGCGAGGAAAGGAGUCAAGGAGGCACAAACUGAGUCAAGUUUGAGAGACUCCGAGAGAAACGUGAUGUAAUGUGGCGUCCCGUCCUUCGUCUCUCUACCUGUUCUUGUCGAUGAUGUGGCAGAUGAUGAGCGGGGCGAGCAGGAACAGGCUGUUGCUCGCCACGGCGCUCUCCGUCUGGACGUCGAUCUGAUGGAUGGGGAUCACCUCGCCCUCCGGUGUGGUCGUCUUCCUCACCACCUGCAGGCGGAUUGCUGCCCUGAUUAAUCAUGAAAUCUCCGAUGCGAAUCAUAAAACACAGUCGGUUGUUUCUGACGGCGAUCACGGCGUGACGGCUGAAGAUCAGCGUCUCCGCUCGACGGUUCGACUGAGCCGUCUUCAUGAAGAUACAACCUGAGGACGGGACGAGAC